Molecule: ribosomal RNA, 433 nt
Filed under: uncultured bacterium
Lineage: Bacteria
Description: partial 16S ribosomal RNA
Rfam family: Bacterial small subunit ribosomal RNA
Source: RNAcentral
AACGAACGCUGGCGGCAUGCCUAACACAUGCAAGUCGAACGAGACCGUCGGGUCUAGUGGCGCACGGGUGCGUAACGCGGGGGAACCUGCCCUUAGGUUCGGAAUAACUCGCCGAAAGGGGUGGCAAAACCGGGAAAAAUCCUCCGUACAAAGUGUUAUUGCCCUUGGGGGGGCCUGGGGUGGAUUAGUCGGUUGGGAGGGUAAAAGCCUACCAAGGCUACGAGCCAUAACGGGUCCGUGAGGAUGAUCAGCCACACUGGGGCUGGGACGCGGCCCAGACUCCUGCAGGAAGCAGCAGUGGGGAAUAUUGGACAAUGGGCGAAAGCAUGAUCCAGCAAUGCCGCGUGAGUGAUGAAGGCCUUAGGGUUGUAAAGCUCUUUUACCCGGGAGGAUAAUGACGGUACCGGGAGAAUAAGCUCCGGCUAACUCCGUG